RNAcentral lists this non-coding RNA (29 nucleotides) under Cricetulus griseus (Chinese hamster). The record is from RNAcentral. Lineage: Eukaryota; Metazoa; Chordata; Mammalia; Rodentia; Cricetidae.
AGGAUAUGUAUAAAACCAAGAAAAAGAAG